UCCGUAGGGGAACCUGCGGAGGGAUCAUUAUAGAGUUUUCUAAACUCCCAACCCAUGUGAACUUACCUUUUGUUGCCUCGGCAGAAGUUAUAGGUCUUCUUAUAGCUGCUGCCGGUGGACCAUUAAACUCUUGUUAUUUUAUGUAAUCUGAGCGUCUUAUUUUAAUAAGUCAAAACUUUCAACAACGGAUCUCUUGGUUCUGGCAUCGAUGAAGAACGCAGCGAAAUGCGAUAAGUAAUGUGAAUUGCAGAAUUCAGUGAAUCAUCGAAUCUUUGAACGCACAUUGCGCCCAUUAGUAUUCUAGUGGGCAUGCCUGUUCGAGCGUCAUUUCAACCCUUAAGCCUAGCUUAGUGUUGGGAAUCUACUCCUUUUAUUAGUUGUAGUUCCUGAAAUACAACGGCGGAUUUGUAGUAUCCUCUGAGCGUAGUAAUUUUUUUCUCGCUUUUGUUAGGUGCUAUAACUCCCAGCCGCUAAACCCCCAAUUUUUUGUGGUUGACCUCGGAUCAGGUAGGAAUACCCGCUGAACUUAAGCAUAUCAAUAAGCGGAGGA
This 550-nucleotide ribosomal RNA is filed under the name Pestalotiopsis sp. UCD10Syrah. RNAcentral describes it as "eukaryotic LSU rRNA". The stretch from base 174 to 327 matches the Rfam family "5.8S ribosomal RNA". The record is from RNAcentral. Lineage: Eukaryota; Fungi; Ascomycota; Sordariomycetes; Amphisphaeriales; Sporocadaceae.